RNAcentral lists this transfer RNA (73 nucleotides) under Apaloderma vittatum (bar-tailed trogon). It matches the Rfam family "tRNA". From Rfam's summary of the family: Transfer RNA (tRNA) molecules are approximately 80 nucleotides in length. Their secondary structure includes four short double-helical elements and three loops (D, anti-codon, and T loops). The record is from Rfam by way of RNAcentral. Lineage: Eukaryota; Metazoa; Chordata; Aves; Trogoniformes; Trogonidae.
GGCCAGUUAGCUCAGUCAGUUGAGCAUGGUGCUGAUAAUACCAAGGUCACGGGUUCGAUUCCCGUUCGGUCCU